UACGUAGGUGGCAAGCGUUGUCCGGAAUUAUUGGGCGUAAAGCGCGCGCAGGCGGCCUCUUAAGUCUGAUGUGAAAGCCCCCGGCUCAACCGGGGAGGGCCAUUGGAAACUGGGAGGCUUGAGUAUAGGAGAGAAGAGUGGAAUUCCACGUGUAGCGGUAGAAAUGCGUAGAGAUGUGGAGGAACACCAGUGGCGAAGGCGACUCUUUGGCCUAUAACUGACGCUGAGGCGCGAAAGCGUGGGGAGCAAACAGGA
This 255-nucleotide ribosomal RNA is filed under the name uncultured bacterium. Its description in RNAcentral is "partial 16S ribosomal RNA". It matches the Rfam family "Bacterial small subunit ribosomal RNA", at positions 524 to 777 of the family's 1533-position model. The record is from RNAcentral.